RNAcentral lists this ribosomal RNA (469 nucleotides) under uncultured bacterium. RNAcentral describes it as "SSU rRNA". It matches the Rfam family "Bacterial small subunit ribosomal RNA", at positions 26 to 518 of the family's 1533-position model. The record is from RNAcentral.
AGGACGAACGCUGGCGGCGUGCUUAACACAUGCAAGUCGAGCGGAAAGGCCCUUCGGGGUACUCGAGCGGCGAACGGGUGAGUAACACGUGAGCAACCUGCCCCUGGCUCUGGGAUAGCUCCGGGAAACCGGGAUUAAUACCGGACAUGACCUCCUCCCGCAUGGGUGGGGGUGGAAAGUUUUUCGGCCAGGGAGGGGCUCGCGGCCUAUCAGCUUGUUGGCAGGGUAAUGGCCUACCAAGGCGACGACGGGUAGCCGGCCUGAGAGGGCGACCGGCCACACUGGGACUGAGACACGGCCCAGACUCCUACGGGAGGCAGCAGUGGGGAAUAUUGCGCAAUGGGCGAAAGCCUGACGCAGCGACGCCGCGUGCGGGAUGAAGGCCUUCGGGUUGUAAACCGCUUUCAGCAGGGACGAAUCAGACGGUACCUGCAGAAGAAGCGCCGGCUAACUACGUGCCAGCAGCCGC